RNAcentral lists this small nuclear RNA (107 nucleotides) under Dasypus novemcinctus (nine-banded armadillo). The record is from RNAcentral. Lineage: Eukaryota; Metazoa; Chordata; Mammalia; Cingulata; Dasypodidae.
GUGCUGGCUUCAGCAGCAAAUAUACUAAAAUUGGAAUGAUACAGAGAAGAUUAGAAAGACUCAUAUACAAGGAUGAUGUGCAAAUUCAUGAAGCAUUCCGUAUUUUU